AGUUGACUAUUAAUUUAAAGUUUAAAUAACUUUUUGAUCCUAGCUAAUAUAAAAGUUUUCAAUUUUAAUUUUUGUAAAUUUUUUUAUUAUUCAUCACCAUCAAUCACAAACUUGAGUUUCAUCAUCAUCUUUAUCAACCCAACAAUCCAUAUUUUCCAUCACCUAACUCAACCUUUUUCCUUUUAUCAUUCAUACUUCACCUAACCCAAUUUUUCUAUCAAUAACUCUACCUCAAAUCUCAUUUUUUUGCCUCUAUUAUCUCAAAAAAACAUCAAUCUCAUCUUUGAAAAUUAACAAUUUAAAUACCCAUAAACUGUUCGACAAAAUUCUCAAACAGCUUUUCCAUUAAACCACUCUUAUAAUUCUCAACAAUCGCCUUUGAAAAUUAACAAGGCUUUAGAUAAAAAAAUAUAAUUUUUAUUAAACAAAUGACCAGCUGCAUCACUUACCUAAAUAACAACUAUUAAUGGUUACAAUCACUCAACUACUAAAAAAGAAAGACAAUAAAAUCAACUACUGACGGAGUAGACGGAGUGGAAUGAUAUACAAGGCAAAGAAUGAAUGGUAUUCUUAACCACAUCCAUAAUUUAUAUCAGGUAUUGCAGCAACAGCUGAAAAUGGAAUUUCAAUUCUCUCUUUCACAAGACACCGAGCCUUAUUAAUUUUUAAAGGUGAUUGUUGAGAAUUAUAAGAGUGGUUUAAUGGCAAAGCUGUUUGAGAAUUUCGUCAAACAGUUGACGGACAUUUAAAUUGUUAAUUUUCAAAGAAGAGUUUGAUGUUUUUUGAGAUAAUAGAGGGAAAAGAUGAGGUUCGAGGUAUAGUUAUUGAUAGAAAAAAUUGAGUUAAGUGAGGUAUGAAUAAUGAAGGGAAAAAGAUUGAGUUGGGUAAUAAAAAAUAUGGAUUGUUGGGUUGAUGAAGAUGAUGAUGAAACUCAAGUCUGUGAUUCAUGGUGAUGAAUAAUUAAAAAAUUUACAUGGACCAAAAUUGAAAAUUGUUAUAUUUGUAGCGAUCAAAAACAUAUUUAAACUUAAAAUUAACAGUCAAUUCACGUUUUUUGUAACGUUUACUUGACGUUAAUGGCCAAAAAUAAAGCUUUAUGAUAUUACAGAAAUAAAAUAAAAAAUUUGUAGAACUAAAACUAAAAACUAUUGUACUUCCAAGGAGUAAAAACAUAUUUAAACCUUGUAUGUUGUUAUUAUUGUAGUUGAGUUGAAUCAAUAAAGUGGUAAUUCAAACAAUAAAGUAUUUCUUUUCAAG
This 1257-nucleotide long non-coding RNA is filed under the name Cicer arietinum (chickpea). Its description in RNAcentral is "long non-coding RNA (CARI_LNC002847)". The record is from RNAcentral. Lineage: Eukaryota; Viridiplantae; Streptophyta; Magnoliopsida; Fabales; Fabaceae.